GACUAUCAACAAUGGAUAUCUCAGCUCUCGCAUCGAUGAAGAAUGUAGCAAAAUGCGAUACUUGAUGUGAAUUGUAAAAUCUCGGGGAACCUCGAGUCUUUAAACGUAAGUUGCCUAGGUGUCA
RNAcentral lists this ribosomal RNA (124 nucleotides) under Capsicum annuum. Its description in RNAcentral is "5.8S ribosomal RNA". It matches the Rfam family "5.8S ribosomal RNA". Rfam says of the family: 5.8S ribosomal RNA (5.8S rRNA) is a component of the large subunit of the eukaryotic ribosome. The record is from Rfam by way of RNAcentral. Lineage: Eukaryota; Viridiplantae; Streptophyta; Magnoliopsida; Solanales; Solanaceae.